Molecule: transfer RNA, 76 nt
Filed under: Aquicella siphonis
Lineage: Bacteria; Pseudomonadati; Pseudomonadota; Gammaproteobacteria; Legionellales; Coxiellaceae
Description: tRNA-Pro
Rfam family: tRNA
About the family: Transfer RNA (tRNA) molecules are approximately 80 nucleotides in length. Their secondary structure includes four short double-helical elements and three loops (D, anti-codon, and T loops).
Source: RNAcentral
UCGGGGUGUGGCUCAGCCUGGUAGAGCGCUGCCUUCGGGAGGCAGAUGUCGCAGGUUCAAAUCCUGUCACCCCGAU